This 670-nucleotide ribosomal RNA is filed under the name Pediococcus pentosaceus. Its description in RNAcentral is "bacterial SSU rRNA". It matches the Rfam family "Bacterial small subunit ribosomal RNA", at positions 202 to 859 of the family's 1533-position model. Lineage: Bacteria; Bacillati; Bacillota; Bacilli; Lactobacillales; Lactobacillaceae. The record is from RNAcentral.
AAGAUGGCUGUGCUAUCACUUUUGGAUGGACCCGCGGCGUAUUAGCUAGUUGGUGAGGUAAAGGCUCACCAAGGCAGUGAUACGUAGCCGACCUGAGAGGGUAAUCGGCCACAUUGGGACUGAGACACGGCCCAGACUCCUACGGGAGGCAGCAGUAGGGAAUCUUCCACAAUGGACGCAAGUCUGAUGGAGCAACGCCGCGUGAGUGAAGAAGGGUUUCGGCUCGUAAAGCUCUGUUGUUAAAGAAGAACGUGGGUAAGAGUAACUGUUUACCCAGUGACGGUAUUUAACCAGAAAGCCACGGCUAACUACGUGCCAGCAGCCGCGGUAAUACGUAGGUGGCAAGCGUUAUCCGGAUUUAUUGGGCGUAAAGCGAGCGCAGGCGGUCUUUUAAGUCUAAUGUGAAAGCCUUCGGCUCAACCGAAGAAGUGCAUUGGAAACUGGGAGACUUGAGUGCAGAAGAGGACAGUGGAACUCCAUGUGUAGCGGUGAAAUGCGUAGAUAUAUGGAAGAACACCAGUGGCGAAGGCGGCUGUCUGGUCUGCAACUGACGCUGAGGCUCGAAAGCAUGGGUAGCGAACAGGAUUAGAUACCCUGGUAGUCCAUGCCGUAAACGAUGAUUACUAAGUGUUGGAGGGUUUCCGCCCUUCCAGUGCUGCAGCUAAACGCC